RNAcentral lists this non-coding RNA (23 nucleotides) under Arabidopsis thaliana (thale cress). The record is from RNAcentral. Lineage: Eukaryota; Viridiplantae; Streptophyta; Magnoliopsida; Brassicales; Brassicaceae.
GGGAUGGUAACAAGUCUUUAAAG